GUCGUCCCUCACCAUCCU
This 18-nucleotide small nuclear RNA is filed under the name Arabidopsis thaliana (thale cress). RNAcentral describes it as "snRNA_13522". Lineage: Eukaryota; Viridiplantae; Streptophyta; Magnoliopsida; Brassicales; Brassicaceae. The record is from RNAcentral.